UGCUAAGCUAAAAGGCAGAAUGCUACAGGCAUGGCCCUAAAGAAUGUAGCAUCAUGGGCAGUGUAGUCCGUGCUGCAGGGAGAAUGGACUACCAUACACGUUAUGUGUCUGUGAGCGAGGGAGGGAGAGAAAGGAAAAGUCCGAGCUGUCACGGAGCAAAAAUGGGAGCUGGAAGCAUGUAAAUAUAAUAAUAACCACUGCAGCCAAGAAGAGUGCCUGACGAGCCCAUUUUUGGUGGCGGUAAUGCACCAUUUUGCUGUUUGCCAACCGCCAAUAAACCCUAUAAAGAAGAAGAGUCACUGUCGCGUUGUCCCUCAUGCUGUGUGGAUCUCCCUGUGUUUCCGGAUCUGGCACACUGUUUCCUGAUGCCGUGGAGCCAGCACCGAAGACUGUGCACAGCCCUUUUAGACGAGGAGGACCCGGGACGUUUGAGUCCGGGCUGAUCUGGUCCACGGCGGCGGGAUUCAGUCUGAUGAUCCGAACCACCAGUGAGACGUCUGAGGGUACGAACACUGAAACCAUGCUGAAGGUAGCAUUUGUGCUUGGAUGCCUCCUGAGCCUCACUCUGACUCAACCUAUGGGUAUGGCGCGCAAAAGACUUGUGCGCUCAAGCUCCGAAUCUAACUCUGGAUCAGGGGAAGCCAAUCAACAGUUAAACAAUCAACAGCUGCAGCUACUCAUACAAUUACUACUUGCCAGCUUAGCAACAACAACCACUACUACAGCUGCAACCACCGCAACAGCUGCAACCACCCCUGCUCCGGCUACAAUGUCAGGUUAAAAACUGACAUUUAGCUAUUGAAUGAAAGUCAGCAUGCAGUGAAACUGUCAAUUUGUGAUAUUUUAAUGAGAAUACAUAGUAGUGUCUACUAAAUAAAAUUUAUGAAUAGAAAAUGUGUGUUUUUCUGUUUGUAAGAAAUACAAGUACCUCAGCUUACCAUUAUAUUCCCCUUUCAAUACAGAGUUUACAUCACACUAUAUGUAAUUAAAGCAGCUAUUUAGGUGUUUACUAACGAACACUGUUGAUCUAAAAUAGAGUUUAAAUUAUGGUACAUCAAGAAUAUUACAUAAUAAACUUAAGUUUUCUCAAAUGUAGUAGAUUGUGCUUCCGAGGUCGGUACCAUUAACAUGAAAGCUACAUUCCUGGUGGGGUUUUUCCGGUGGGAACAUUCAUUGUCAAACAGUUAAGCAACGGAGGGUCAGGGGGCCAAGUUAGGACAUAAAAUGAUAGCCCGUCAGUAUGGCUCAUUAUUUAAGACCAUUUAUAUACAAGUAAGAGUUUAAGAUUAAGAUUUCAGAUUCCGAUAAGAAUUUCAAAUCACCUAUAUGGAAACCAGUCUGGAGUGGUGGAAAUUAAGAUGAGAUGUUUAACCAGAUAAACUGGAAGAGAUGGAAAGAUAAAGGUCUACGCUUCCCUGCUGCCCGUGCGAUCAAAGUUUAGAUAAGAAGAAGAAAAUGGCUGCAUGAUUUAUUAUUUUGUUAUUUUAGAUUUUAACUUUUAUUGAAGUGGUUGCCAUAAAUUUUCGGACAGCGUGCAUCAUUCAUAAUGCAAAGAACAAUGUGCCAGACGUUUCAGUCGCAGUUUAUUCAUUUUUUAGAUGUUAAUUUGUCAUAUUUUCGUAAUAAAUGAGCGUCUUUUAUAGUAACAUGACUUCAUAUUAUAUUUAAAGGGAACCCCGGCUAUUAACACAUGUUUGCGCUAAAAUAUGCACUGUCCUUUCAAUAACAUAUAUGUGGUAUUAAAAUACACCAAAUGUUUCCCUUUUAAGCACAUUUUAUAGAAAACUGAUUUACCAGUAGGCCACCAUUGUUAUUUACUUCUCAAUGCACUCUGGGUAGUGACGUCAUACGGUUGCACCGCAUCGAGUUCACAGUUAGCACUGGAAAUGAGUUCUGUUCAACCUUUCCAGUUUGAACCAGAGCAAUCCGAGAGAGAGGAUGAAAAUAGUCAACCAGUAAUUAGUUUAGAUGAAGAUGAAAACAAUCCGUCACACGAGGACGCGAGAGUGAGGGAAAACUUCUGGUGUCUAUGCGGCUACUGCUUGCCAAUGCAAUGCAUAUUACCGCUGUAAUGUAGGUGUCCACCCUAUAGUGUUUGCAAGCUGGUAAACAGAUGGAAAUACCUCGCUAUGAUUACAAAUCAGGAGUUUUAGUGGCUUAAGCAGUUAAUUUUUGCUUUGCUUUGUUUUAUUUGUUGCUUCAAGCCCUGUGUACAGGAGCUGCAUGCAAAAAGAUCUUUUGUUAAAAGGGUUGGCGUAAUAAGCAAAUGCUUCAGCCAAUACCUUUUGAUUAGCCUUGUCUUGUGCUUUCUUGCUUUGUGGUAAUCUUUAUUCUGUAUUCACUGAGAUAUUUGAAUGCUAAUCAAUAAAUCAAUAAAAAAUAAAAAAUAAAUAAUAAAUAAAACAGACAACACCCAGUCUGACAUCCUUUUUUUUUUUUUUUUUUUAAAUGAGUUGCUGUUAUAGCACAAAGGUAUAGAUAUAAAGUUUAUGUAAUAGAUAAGAAGACAAAAAUAAAUUAAAAGAACAUCAAGAGC
Oreochromis aureus is the source of this 2536-nucleotide long non-coding RNA. Lineage: Eukaryota; Metazoa; Chordata; Actinopteri; Cichliformes; Cichlidae. The record is from Ensembl.